This 492-nucleotide ribosomal RNA is filed under the name uncultured bacterium. RNAcentral's name for it is "partial 16S ribosomal RNA". It matches the Rfam family "Bacterial small subunit ribosomal RNA", at positions 30 to 523 of the family's 1533-position model. The record is from RNAcentral.
AUUGAACGCUGGCGGCAUGCCUUACACAUGCAAGUCGAACGGUAACAGGUUAAGCUGACGAGUGGCGAACGGGUGAGUAAUAUAUCGGAACGUGCCCAGUCGUGGGGAUAACGUAGCGAAAGCUACGCUAAUACCGCAUACGAUCUACGGAUGAAGGCGGGGGAUCGCAAGACCUCGCGCGAUUGGAGCGGCCGAUAUCAGAUUAGGUUGUUGGUGAGGUAAAAGCUCACCAAGCCUGCGAUCUGUAGCUGGUCUGAGAGGACGACCAGCCACACUGGAACUGAGACACGGUCCAGACUCCUACGGGAGGCAGCAGUGGGGAAUUUUGGACAAUGGACGCAAGUCUGAUCCAGCAAUGCCGCGUGCAGGACGAAGGCCUUCGGGUUGUAAACUGCUUUUGUACGGAACGAAACGGUGAGCUCUAAUACAGUUUGCUAAUGACGGUACCGUAAGAAUAAGCACCGGCUAACUACGUGCCAGCAGCCGCCGUAA